AGUUCCAUAGUGUAGCAGUUAGUACAUCUACUUUACACACAGAAGGUCCUGGGUUCAUGCCCCCAGUGGAGCCA
This 74-nucleotide transfer RNA is filed under the name Pteropus alecto (black flying fox). It matches the Rfam family "tRNA". From Rfam's summary of the family: Transfer RNA (tRNA) molecules are approximately 80 nucleotides in length. Their secondary structure includes four short double-helical elements and three loops (D, anti-codon, and T loops). Lineage: Eukaryota; Metazoa; Chordata; Mammalia; Chiroptera; Pteropodidae. The record is from Rfam by way of RNAcentral.